AAUGUCUUGCAGGGUUGGGUGAAAUUCCCUAUCGGCGGUGAAAGCCCGCGACUCCCGCGUCUCACGAUGCGGGACUGAUUCGGUGAAACUCCGAGGCCGACGGUCAGAGUCCGGAUGGAAGCAGGAAGAG
Molecule: non-coding RNA, 130 nt
Filed under: Acidimicrobium sp.
Lineage: Bacteria; Bacillati; Actinomycetota; Acidimicrobiia; Acidimicrobiales; Acidimicrobiaceae
Description: FMN sequence
Rfam family: FMN riboswitch aptamer (RFN element)
About the family: The RFN element is a highly conserved domain that is found frequently in the 5'-untranslated regions of prokaryotic mRNAs that encode for flavin mononucleotide (FMN) biosynthesis and transport proteins.
Source: RNAcentral